GGCUAGUGGAAGAGGCAGGAGUGAUCGAUUUUUAAGUGUCGCGCCGUGAUGUGUUGUUAAAGAUUUGUUGAGUGUAACUUGUUGAGUGCAACGUUAUAUUGCGUAAAGUUAUUAGCAACUUCGUGCGUGUGGUUAAAAUUGUGCAGGUUUGUGGCAUUCUGCGGAGCCGUACACAUCACACCAAGAGUCAACGAUCGCUUCUGACCCCACCGUCAGCUACGAGGGUUUUCCCGGAAGUUCGUCAACCGGAAGAGGGUUUGCGAACAUUCAUCGCGCCCUAGGCAAGGCUAGCAGAUACCCGGAUUCAUCGCGAAAUUGCGCCAAUCGUCUACAAUUCAUCGCCGCGACGACCGUACCCGUUCAUCGCCGCCGCGUGAAGCCCACAGACCGGAGGGAAUCAUCUGCGUCAACGUCAUCGACGCGAACAUCAAUCAACGCGUCCGUUCGAAUGAACGACCGUUUGAUUCCCGUAAAAUCCCCUUCAAGCGUACGCAAACCGUGAGUAAAUCAUGCAUGAUUAGAUAAGUCCAUGCGCAUGGCUCAGUUCCCGCCGCUACCGAAGAACUAACAGUAAGUAGCGUGCCAAUCGAAACUUUCACGUGGCUGUCCUUAGUCCCCGCGCUUGCGCUGACAGCCACGCUUCUGAGCACACACACGACCAACCAAAUGAACACCGCACGUAAAGCACUCAACACACGCCCCGAAUGAAGACAGAGGUAGAUAGAGAAAGAGAGUAGCAAGGGAAAGCACACAGUAGGCCUAGGCAGAAGUAGUAUGUAGAAGCAUAAAUACGAAAUACAUGUAUGAAUUGGAUGAACAUUUGUAGUGGGAUGUUAUUAUUGUAAUGCUGGUAGAGUAAAUGCAGGCGAACCGCCGUUUAAGGAAAACCUAUCCCGAAUAGCAUGUGACA
This is a long non-coding RNA of Armigeres subalbatus, 910 nucleotides long. RefSeq lists it as uncharacterized. The record is from RefSeq and is a predicted model, not a curated record. The transcript is spliced from 3 exons. NCBI's taxonomy places the organism in Eukaryota, Metazoa, Arthropoda, Insecta, Diptera, Culicidae.